This 439-nucleotide ribosomal RNA is filed under the name uncultured bacterium. RNAcentral's name for it is "partial 16S ribosomal RNA". It matches the Rfam family "Bacterial small subunit ribosomal RNA", at positions 339 to 795 of the family's 1533-position model. The record is from RNAcentral.
CUACGGGAUGCAGCAGUGAGGAAUAUUGCACAAUGGGGGGAACCCUGAUGCAGCAACGCCGCGUGGAGGAUGACGCAUUUCGGUGUGUAAACUCCUUUUAUAUGUCAAGAAAAUGACGGUAGCAUAUGAAUAAGCACCGGCUAACUCCGUGCCAGCAGCCGCGGUAAUACGGAGGGUGCAAGCGUUACUCGGAAUCACUGGGCGUAAAGGACGCGUAGGCGGGUUGGAAAGUCAGGUGUGAAAUCCUACAGCUUAACUGUAGAACUGCACUUGAAACUUCUAAUCUAGAGUAUGGGAGGGGGAGAUGGAAUUAGUGGUGUAGGGGUAAAAUCCGUAGAUAUCACUAGGAAUACCUAAAGCGAAGGCGAUCUCCUGGAACAUUACUGACGCUAAAUUGCGAAGGUGUGGGUAUCAAACAGGAUUAGAUACCCCCGUAGUC